GAAGCAGACACCCACAGCUAAACACUGAACUGAACUGGAAUCCAGUUGCAAAGAAGGAAGAGCUAUGAGCAAAGGGGUCUAGACCAGAUGUACUUUUGGAAAUACUAAUUCAAAUCUGGCUUCCAUCUAUCAAUGCUGCAUGACUUACUGUUCCAGGAAGCUGUGAUAAAAGCUGGUGAUGUAGACAAGGCCUAGUGGACAUGCCUGUAAAAGAAUUGUAAGCAAAAGGAGUCUCAGCAGCAUCCCACACUGCUGCUUUCCAGCACUGCAGAAGAGAAA
This 279-nucleotide long non-coding RNA is filed under the name Cricetulus griseus (Chinese hamster). RNAcentral describes it as "lncRNA (ENSCGRG00015030258.1)". Lineage: Eukaryota; Metazoa; Chordata; Mammalia; Rodentia; Cricetidae. The record is from RNAcentral.